Small nuclear RNA from Otolemur garnettii (small-eared galago), 104 nucleotides. The record is from Ensembl. NCBI's taxonomy places the organism in Eukaryota, Metazoa, Chordata, Mammalia, Primates, Galagidae.
GUUCACUUUCCCUGCGCAUAUGCUAAAAUUGGAACGAUACAGAGAAGAUUAGCAUGGUCCCUACACAAAGGUGACACACAAUUUAUGAAGUAGUCCAUAUUUUU